CCUACGGGAGGCUGCAGUGGGGAAUAUUGGGCAAUGGGCGCAAGCCUGACCCAGCAACGCCGCGUGAAGGAAGAAGGCUUUCGGGUUGUAAACUUCUUUUCUCAGGGACGAAGCAAGUGACGGUACCUGAGGAAUAAGCCACGGCUAACUACAUGCCAGCAGCCGCGGUAAUACGUAGGGGGAAAGCGUUAUCCGGAUUUACUGGGUGUAAAGGGCGUGUAGGCGGGAAAGCAAGUCAGAUGUGAAAACCAUGGGCUCAACCUGUGGCCUGCAUUUGAAACUGUUUUUCUUGAGUACUGGGGAGGCAGACGGAAUGCCUAGUGUAGCGGUGAAAUGCGUAGAUAUUAGGAGGAACACCAGUGGCGAAGGCGGUCUGCUGGACAGCAACUGACGCUGAGGCGCGAAAGCGUGGGGAGCAAACAGGAUUAGAUACCCCAGUAGUC
This 443-nucleotide ribosomal RNA is filed under the name uncultured bacterium. RNAcentral describes it as "partial 16S ribosomal RNA". It matches the Rfam family "Bacterial small subunit ribosomal RNA", at positions 338 to 795 of the family's 1533-position model. The record is from RNAcentral.